UUGCAAGCCUGAGAAAGUUAUAAAUGAAAAAGACUAUCAACACAAUAUCUGUAUACACAUUGUUAUUAAUGUUAAGAGCUGUGCUUGACUUAAAUCCUAACCUUUUUUAUGGUAUAUUUAAAAUAUAUACUAAUUCUCACUAAUAAAUAUCGUAACUUGAGUGCAAAUAUCCACCACAAACUUGUUUUAUCCCUACUGACUUUAUUUCCUCUUAAUGUUUAAUGAUGAUCCAACAUGAUGAGCAUAGCUCAGUUAGACAAAUUAUUACAUAAGAAAUACCAUGCAGUUGUAACACAAUAAUUUGUGCUAUAUCAGAGAUCAAAACAGAAUAAAUUUGAAAAAGAAAUACAGAUGGAUGACAAGUUUGAGAAAUUAAUCUCUGAUCUUGUGAGGGUGUUGAUUUCACCAGCGAUACCAUUGUCUGAGCAGAAAGUUGAUGAACCAGGGUUAUGUGAAAGAAUGCCAAC
This is a long non-coding RNA of Mytilus trossulus (common blue mussel), 467 nucleotides long. RefSeq lists it as uncharacterized. Lineage: Eukaryota; Metazoa; Mollusca; Bivalvia; Mytilida; Mytilidae. The record is from RefSeq and is a predicted model, not a curated record. The transcript is spliced from 3 exons.